AGAAUAAGCACCGGCUAACUACGUGCCAGCAGCCGCGGUAAUACGUAGGGUGCAAGCGUUAAUCGGAAUUACUGGGCGUAAAGCGUGCGCAGGCGGUUCUGUAAGACAGAUGUGAAAUCCCCGGGCUCAACCUGGGAAUUGCAUUUGUGACUGCAGGACUAGAGUUCAUCAGAGGGGGGUGGAAUUCCAAGUGUAGCAGUGAAAUGCGUAGAUAUUUGGAAGAACACCAAUGGCGAAGGCAGCCCCCUGGGAUGC
Molecule: ribosomal RNA, 255 nt
Filed under: Clostridioides sp. ZZV14-6104
Lineage: Bacteria; Bacillati; Bacillota; Clostridia; Peptostreptococcales; Peptostreptococcaceae
Description: partial 16S ribosomal RNA
Rfam family: Bacterial small subunit ribosomal RNA
Source: RNAcentral